This 253-nucleotide ribosomal RNA is filed under the name uncultured bacterium. RNAcentral describes it as "partial 16S ribosomal RNA". It matches the Rfam family "Bacterial small subunit ribosomal RNA", at positions 524 to 776 of the family's 1533-position model. The record is from RNAcentral.
UACAGAGGGGGCGAGCGUUGUUCGGAAUCACUGGGUGUAAAGGGUGCGUAGGCUGUCGGUUAAGUCUGAUGUGAAAUCCCUCGGCUCAACUGGGGAACUGCAUUGGAAACUAGCUGACUGGAGUACCGGAGAGGGAAGCGGAAUUCCUGGUGUAGCGGUGAAAUGCGUAGAUACCAGGAGGAACACCGGUGGCGAAGGCGGCUUCCUGGCCGAGUACUGACGCUGAGGCACGAAAGCGUGGGGAGCGAACGGG